UGGGCGAUGCAAAUGGGGCAAGAGAGAUAUUUGAGCAAAUGGGAGCACGAAAUUUGGAUUCUUGGAACAAGAUGCUGUCGGGUCUGACACAGAAUUACGAAGGAGAAAUGCUCUUGAAAUCUUUUCCCAGAUGGAAGAAGAUGAGAUUAGGCCAUAUGGGUCUAGCUUUGUUGUUAUUUUAAUGGCUUGCAUGUGCUUAGGGGCAGAGAAGGAAUGACAUAAACAUUUUGAGUCAAUGAGCAGGGGUUACGGGAUCAUUCUCGCAGAAGAGCAUUAUGAAGCUAUGGUUGAUCUUCUUGGAAGAUCAGGAAAGAUAGCGGAGUGCAAAGGAGUUAGUUGCAAAUACACCAAUUGACUCAAAGUCAAACACCAGAGUUUGGGAGACUCUACAGAAGCACUCGAAAGCCAGAACACAAGGGCAACUGGGUUAUUCUGUAUCACGAUAAGGGCAAAGGACAGCUUUAAAAUAAAUUAUAAAAGAGCGACUUCGGACGGGAUCAAGGCAUAUGAAAAGUUGAGGUCUUUGAGUAAAGAGGUAAAGGAUGCUGGAUAUUUGCCGGACACAAGGUUUGUGUUUCAUGAUCUUGACCAAGAGGCGAAGGAGAGAAGUCCUUGUUCUACCACAUUGAAAGGAUAGCCAUUGCUUAUGGCUUAUCAAUACUCCUCCUGGGACCUCUUUAUGGAUAAUGAAAAACCCAAGGAUUUGCGGGGACUGUCAUAAUUUCAUCAAGAUUCCAAAAUGGAGGACGGGUAGAUUAUUGUGAGAGACGAUAAGAGGUUGCAUCAUUUCAAGGCUGGUAACUGCUCCCAAAUCUUCAAACUUUUCCCAGAGCCUAAAUAUUUAUUCUCUAUGAUUUUAGGGAUAAAGAAGCAUAAUUUUGCUUCAAAUUGGUUCAUUACAUGCUCUAUUGACUCAAAUAGAGACCCUGCUUGUAUUUCAUAAGCCAUUCAUGAUCUUGACAUGGGUGACGACAACAACUUGGGGUUUUCUUUGUCUUGAGGCCACAAGUUCAGUUCUAUUCCAGACACUGUUCAAGUUACAAUUUAUAACGCAAAAAAAAUAAAAAAUUAUUAUGAUUAGAAUAGAAUAUUUGCAUCUCUAUCAACUUGCUCUCACCCCGCUCCCGUCAACCACAAACUGCUGUGCUCCUGCACGUCUUUCACCCGCAAUCUCAUGGCAUUAACUUGUCUCAUGAUCCCAUCCACUUUAAACAUCCUGCUGGCUUGUUUUGUCUUCAGUUCUCGUCCUACUUUACAACGUCAAUCAUUAGACCGCAUAGAUCAUUUCUUUACUGAUUGUUUUGAGAAAAAUUCAGAGCAUUUGCUAGUUGAAUUUGAAGGAGGUGAUACUUUUAGAUGCAACGCUUCUUAAUAAUUGUACCUGAUUUUGUUUCUUUCCUUUUCCAAUAAGAGAAAAAUCAUACACCAAACAGAUUCUAAAUUCUGCAAAAGUUGAAUUAAUCAACAACAGACUUAAUUAUCAAAGUUCUGAGUGACAGGAGAAAUCAAUUUUUUUGCCCUCUCUUUGCACUGUUUGCUCUUGUGCUCUCUUUCCUUUAGCUUUAGGUUUCUUUGUUGCAAAGAAAAUUUCACUGUAGCUGAGAAAAUGUUUGAGUAAGUUUCUACUUUUUAGGCCUUGAUUGGGAGUAUAUCUUUUCGAGGUAUUGUUAUUGACAUAAUGGAAGGCAAGUUGCACUAAUAUUGUUUACACAUUGACAGAUUAAAUACAGAGAAUACAAUCCUUGGAAACAAUUUUCUUUCCGUUUUGGUUUUAAUUCAUAUCUACAAUUCUACAAAUAAAUACUCUAUCCUUAUCUUUCUUUUUAAUAUUUUGUGUUCAUGUUUUUAUUAUCUUGCAAAUAUGUUUAAUUGUUUUUACUAAUAAUUUCCCAACAACCUUGAGGUCAAAUGAACUUACAUGUUUAAUUGUUUAGUUUAAUAUUUCGUUGUUGUUUAAUUUAUAAAUUUAAAACUACAAUUUUUUUGUUAUUUAUAAUUUUUAUUUGCAUGUUCUAAGCCAAAUUUUUUAGAAAGAUAUAUAUUUGACUGUUGUUUUUUUAUCAAAAAUAAUUAUAAUUUCUACUUAAAAGAUAAUUGUUCUUGCAACUGUUGCUAUAACAAGUAUUAUUCUAGUAAGAAGGAUUUCAUCAUCAUUUUAUGUUGUGUAUGGUAAGAAACUUUAAAAGUUUAAUAUAAUUUGAAAUUUAAAAAAUGAUAAUAAAAAAUAUUAUUUUAUGUGACAUCUUGAACUUGAUAAAAUUCUUUAACUAAAGAUACCCCUAAGCUAUUUGAUGAUGAAUUUGAUUUCACUACUAUGGCAGCCAUGGACACAUGAAAUCAUAGUAAUUCAAGUGCAAGAACUAUAUUUUAAAUGAUAUGGAUAACAAAGUGUGUUUAUAUAUAGAGUUUCACCAAAAGUGCAGGGUUAAAGAUAUAAUUUUAAGUAAAAUUUUUGUUACCUUACAAAAACAUGUUAUAUUUUGAUUCUGCUUCAUAUUGUUGUAAUUAAGGUAACAAAUAAGUAAAUAUUGAAUAUAACAUAAAUUAUAUAAAUGUAUUUAAGUAAUAAUAAAAUAAUUUAUUAUUCUAUAUGAAUUAGAGAAAAUAUUUUAAUAUAAUCUCAAAUAAUAUUAAUUAUAAAUCCCUACAAAAAGUAAAAUGAAAUUUAAAAAGAAUUUCAAAUAUUAUUUAAAAAACAAUUCACUAUAGUAUUGAAAAACAAAACAUAAUUUAAUAUAGUAAAUAUACUUAAUGCUAUAAUAUUUAAAUUAGAACAUUGAUGAUGAAAGGACAAUAAUUAUAUUGAAAAAUUAAUAACUAAAAAUCUAAGUCGUACCAUUUAUGAUUUUUCUAAUAUUAAAAAAUCAUAACAGAUGAUUAUUAGAUAUUAUGUUUGAUCUUCAAAUAUAAAUUAAUUAAUUAUUAAAUAAAUAAUAAAUUAAUUUAUUUUAUUUAUUUAUGAUAUAUGAUUUAUAGUUAAAUCAAUUUAUUAGAGAAUCUAAUGGUUUAUACAUAAUUCUGAACAUAUUUUAUAUUAUAGUUUUUGUUUGUUUCCUUUUCCAACGAGUGAAAAAUUAUACACUUAACUAGAUCACCAAAAAAUGUAUUAAAAGAACAGACGUAAUCGAAAAAGUUCCGAGUAACAGGUGAAAUCCUAUAGCCAAAACAACAAUGUUCUUGGCGUUAAGAAGAGGUAAGACGACAUUGUUCACAGGGGUAAUCUAUGAAACCAUCACCCAUAUCAGAUUCUUGGCAGAGAAUCGGUUGGCUGAUCAGUUCUCAGUUAUCAAACUGCUUAUCAAUUCUCAGGACUCGUAUUAAUUGGGACAAUCUUUCUUUUCCAUCUCUAUGACCAGCUGGAGCCACUGAAGUUCCUUCCAGGUUUGGUGAGGUGGAUGAACCUGCCUUCAGAUCAUCAAGCUGCAAAAAAAAAAAAGAGGAAAAAAAAAAGGAGUAAGCUCCUGGAUUACAUUCUGGAGGAUUUUAUUUUUUUUCCUUUUCUUUUUGUAAUGAGAAAGAAUAGAUAAGUUAUCAAACAUAAGAAAUCACCUUGAAUUGCAGCUUACUUAAAAUUUUAAUCAGCAUGCUCCUUUCAUUUGUCUUUUUCUGAAUAGAAGGAUCAAUUUGUGUGACUGAAGACGAUUCCGAAUCAGAGGAAGUUUGUGUUUCUACAGAUUUGGAUGAGCUCUGUGUUUCAGAUAUUAGCCGCUUCAGUUGAGUCUGAUAGGAUGACAGAGCCUUCUCGCCAUAUUCAAUGGCUUUAAUCUUGUCGCUACCCUCAAGGCAGAUGCAUAUUUUGACAUUUCUGAAUCCUGAUGUACGGAUGUGUGUAAUAAUUUGUAGUGCAGGUUUGGAAUUGGAAAUAGACGUAAACAGUAGUGAUAAGACAGGGUAUGGGUUUUUCAAACUAUGAGAUCCAACACCAGACCAGUAAUGGAUACAUAUGGACUAUUCGCUGUUUAUGAAUUUCUCCUUCCAAACUCUCAAAAAAGGAUGAUGCUUGGAUAUAAUAACGCUCAGGAUUUGGUUCCCCUACAAAAUGCAGCAUAGACAAUGAGAUACAGCCAACAUGUUCUUUUGCAAGGAAGAUAAAAGAUUUAUGUGUAACUUCUUGUUAAAAGCAGGAGAAACGAGCCAACCCCUUCUCAAUGCAACCUCUCCAAGGGCGCAGAGUGUAUUAGCUUUCUCUUUUAAGCAGUUUGAUUCAUUUUCCAGAAUAGACCAUGCAAUCUUUAGUUCUUUCUGUGCAGCUUCCAUCUGAUUUGCAUAGUCCUCUUGGCUAACAGUACCUUCCACCAUGAAAGGAGAUAAAAUUAAGGAAUAAGUGGUUCCAGGCACAGUAUACAUAAUCAGAGAAGUUGCCCUGUUGUUUCAAUGAAAAGAAUCUGACAUGAGCUUUCAUAGCAACAAUAGGAUUGUAAGCAUUAUGUGAUUCUAACAGAGAUUCAAUGUGGGAAUUUUGCAACAUGCGUGGACUCUUAUCCUUUUCUGUCAAGUCACAAUCAAUUGCUAAAAGCCUCAAGCAAUUAGCCCUUUUGUGGUUAUUUAUCAAUUUUAUACAUGGCGAGGUCGUCCUCCAUGUAAUGAAGGAAUUGUUAUCGGCGACCAUAUACUUCAGCAACCCGAAAAAGGAGAAUACCUAAACGUCAUGUUAGACAAUAAGAGUUCAUGAAGACAGAGAUCACCAAAACAAAUAGAGUUGAGUAAAAAAAAAUGUUAGUAUUUUUUACAAGGAGGGGAAUUACUAACCGCUGUAUAACUUGCAAUAAGAACUAUAAGGUCUAUCCUUAGCAAGAUAGUAAUCAGCUUCCCUCGGUAAAAAUUCCAACGGAUCAUCAUCUCCCUGAAAUGAAAUUUCGUACAGCAAGGAAACACCAUUAAAUGGUGCAAAAGGGAGCGUUCCAAAGUACGUUCACCUUGGAGUUGAACGCUGAAUAAACACAAAUUAGUUCGUGAGACGAUUUUCGAUUACACAAACACGAAAAAGAAUUAUGGAUACCCAAAUUUUAGAACACUAUACAGUACAAGAAUGAGGCUAUUCUCUUUAAAAUUCUUUCCCAGGAUUGUGAUCUUGCAUAAAACUCAAUGAAAUAUUGAGGAAACAGUGCACAUCAAAGACCAAAAGCACUUCAAUCCUAGAUAUCGGUUUAACAUUAGUAAAAUCAAAGGUUUGUAUUCAGAAGAAUCCUUCUUUUCUAUACAAGACUACAGUAAUUCCAGCCCAAUCAUUUUAACCAAAACAAGAAGUUUGGAUUAGCAGAAAACUUACGGACAAGAAGCACAAAAACCCAGAAUCUAAAACACGCUUUCUCAGCAAACAAACAACAAGAAAACAAGUACAACUAGGAAACCAGGCAAUGAACAACAAAAGGCAUAUCAAAAAGGCAUAAAGAAACCUAAAAGAGUAACAAGAAACACAAACAAAAGAAAUCUCACCUGGCAUCACAAGCCUUCUUGAAGUAUCUAGCAGCUUUAUCAAAGUGGGCAUUUUGUAAGGCGGAUGAUCCACGAUUGAUGACAGAGAUAAGCCUAGCCGUAGCGUCAGGGAUAUCAUCCAUUCUUGAAGUAAAGAAGAUGAAAUAAAGAAACCAGUAAUAGAGAGAGAGAGAGAGAGAGCAGAGAAUUUGGAAUGCAAAGAGAAAGUAUUGGAGAAUUCGGAGCGGAGAGAGAUACAGGGAGAGAAUUAGGAAUUGGGGUAAUUAGUUUAUGGUGGUGGUCUUAUACUUUGGGCGGGAAGAGCCAGGGCAGCAGCCAAGAACAUUGCUCCCUGAGGAGAGCAUGAUUAGCAUAGUAGUCGUUAUUCAAUUGUAAGAAUCCAGUUAAACACGCAUCCUUAAAUUCCCCCACGACCCAAACAAAAAAUAUGACGCCAAUAACGGGCUAACUAUGCAAGUUGAUGUUAGUGCUUCAUAAAUUUGCCAAUUCUGGGUGUGCCUUUGGAUGUCAAGAGGAGCAAGGAGUUGUUUAAGCAUAUUUUAGAGAACAUUCAUUGUCGACUAGCUGGUUGGAAGUCUAAACUGCUGAGUAAGGCGGGUAGAACUUAGAAGCACUCCAUGCUGGGAAAAAAUUGUUAAAACAUUGUCAAUGAGGCAUUUUUCAUGCCAAAUUAAAACUACAGUUUAUUUACUUUUAGUAAUUUAAUUUUCAACAUAAACUUUUUAACUUUAAAUAUUAAUAUAAUUAAAAUAAAUUAUAAAUAAAUAAAAAAUUGACCUGAAAUUUUUUUUAGUUAUCAUGUUUUAAAAAAACCACAAAUCCUCUAAAAACUCAUAUUUCAUAUAGAAAAGAAACAAAUUUUACUUGUUAUUUAUACAGUGCAAAGGUGAGAAAUUAAAAUUGAGCACAAAAAAACAUCAAAACAUUUUAAAAAAUUACAUUUAAGCAAAAUAAGUUUUGGAUUUAAACCUACAGGUGUUUAUGCUAUAAGAAAUAUUUUUUUUCCAAUAAUCCAUGAAGAUUUUUUAUUUUUUUUCUAAUCCAUUGUCUUGUCCAAUUAAGUCUAUCAAUUUCUUCAGUUUUUUCCAGAACUGUUUCUUUAUAUCCUUGAUGAUUUUUUGGAUAGUUUUUCUAGCUCUUUAAAAUCAAAAUUGCUAGGUUUCAUUCUGGUUUUGUGAUGGAUAAUUAAAGUAGAUAAUGAAAUAAAUUUAUUCUAGUAAUUAUUAAAAUUAAUUCUUAUCAAUUUUAAUUCCAAGACUCACUAUAAAAAACAAGUUGUAGAAAGAGUUUUCUGCACAUUUUUUUCAUGAUUAUCGUAGAUUUCCUCACCUCAUAUUUUUAGUUGUUAUCCUAUGUUGUUUAAAGCUUUGGUUUUCCUUCAAAAAAAAAAAAACACUUAAGCUUUUACAGGGAAAGAGAUCUAAAUAAAAUAAUUUAUGGAUCUAAAUUCAUUUGCAUGUGUUUGGGCUAUAAAAAAUUAUAUUUUACCAACUAUCUAUGAAAAAUUAUUUUUUCUAGCUCAUUAUCUUGUCCAGCUUGUAAAUUAAAUUUAAUUAAUUUCUUCAUUUUUUUUUUCAAAAUUAACUCUUCAUAGAUUUUUGGACAAUUUUUUCCAACUCGUUAAAACCAAAAUUGUCAAGUUUAAUUCUCAUAUUAUAACAAAUAAUCAAAAUUGAUAAUGAAAAAAAUUUAUUAUGAUAUUUAUUAAAAUUAAUUUUUUAUUGGUUUUGGUUUCAAAAUUUACUAUACAAAAAGAGGUGUAGAAAAAUAAGUUUUAUGCACUAUUUUCCAUGUUUCCAUACUUUUCCUCACCUCAAAUUUUUAUAUUCAUCCUUUUAAUUUUAAUCUUUCUCUCAAUCUAGAGCAUAUGUUUGUUUAUUUAUUUAUUUUUAUAGAUUUUAUUUAAAAGUGUAUCUGAAUAAUUUGGGGUUAUUGAAAUCUUGAAAGACUUAUUACAAAACAUUUUUUUAUACAAAGUGAAGAGCAACAAAAUUUUAAAGACUCAUUCAUCCUACUAGUUUAAAGUUCUUAUUAGAUAAAAAAAUUCACCUUUCCAUCCCAGCAUCUAUGGCUAACUAAACUAUAUAUUAGGUUUUAACUAUGAAAUUAAAUAAAGGGCAAAGACAAUGUUGCAGGUGUUGCUCUUUCAAGGAUUCCUAUUAGUGAACUAUAUGCACUAGCAGCCUCAACCAUCUCUACUGCUAUUAUGGAUGAGGUAAGGAAGACUUGGAGGAGUGAUAUUGCCAUCCAAACUUUUCUUCAAGAUAUACUCAUUAAUCCAAUCUCACACCAUCGUUACUCCUAGGUUAACAAUGUGUUGAGUCAAAAAGGAAAAUUUAUGGUAGGUAAUGACUCUUCCCUGCAAAAUAAGAUAAUUGCUCUAUACCAUGAUUUUGCAUUAGAGGAUCACUCAGGAGCUACAGUUACUGCUAAAAGGACAGGCAACUUAUUCUUUUGGACAAAACAACAAAAACAUAUCGGGCAGUAUGUCGGGGCUGCUACAAUCCUCAUCAACCAUUCCUUAGGCACCCUUCAUAUAUAUAUAUAUAUAUAUCAAAUGGAAAGGAAGUUAUCCUAAUGGUGGUAGAUCCAUUUAGUACCCUCUAUCAAAUGGACAAACUAAGGUUGUCAACAGGUGCUUGAAACCUACCUCAGGUGUAUAUCAAUGGUAAAGAUGGCUGCUAUUAGCAAGAGUAGUGGUACAACACCAACUAUCAUGCUUCCACUAAAUCUACUCCCUAUGAUAUCUUCUACAAGUUUGUUCCUCCAAUACGUAUUCCCUAUUUUCAUAGAGACUCGCCUAUUGAAGUUGUAAAUGACUACUUGACAGAGAGAGAGAGAGAGAACACAAGCUCAAGGUAAUCAGAGACAAUUUACUAGCAGCUCAAGAUAGAAUAACCCAAUUGGCUACUAAGAAGAGAGGUGAUCAGAGGGUAUUCAACAUUGGUGACUUUGUCUACAUUAAACUACACCCAUACAGACAGAAGACAGUAGCUAACAAAGUUCACUAAAACUGGCAUCUAAAUACGAUGGACCUCACCAAAUUCAGAAGAGAAUUGGCGCGGUGGCUUACAAGUUGAUAUCACCUCCCUCUGCGACCAUUCAUCUAGUUUUUCAUGUCUCGCAGUUGAAGAAGCGAGUAGGAAACAAAAUGGUGCACGCCAGUUUACCUGAUUUCCCCGGGGAACCAACUCUCCAGCCACAAGCUAUCUUAGAACGAAGAAUGGUGAAAAAGAAUCAUCAGGCAGUCACUCAGUUGUUGAUUCUCUAGAAAGGACUGCCUUCAACAGAAGCCACUAGGGAGGUACUCGAAGAAUUGGCAUUGAGGUUUCCUAAUUUCACCCUUGAGAACAAGGACACUCUCUAAAGGAAGGGGCAUUGUCACGGGCUCAGCCUUAAAAGUAAGGAUCAAUUCCAG
RNAcentral lists this long non-coding RNA (8854 nucleotides) under Populus tremula. RNAcentral's name for it is "long non-coding RNA (PTRE_LNC001827)". The record is from RNAcentral. Lineage: Eukaryota; Viridiplantae; Streptophyta; Magnoliopsida; Malpighiales; Salicaceae.